UCUUCGUGUGUUUUAGUAGCUGCUAAUCAUCCCUUAUCAACUCUUUCUUAUGAAUCAUCUUAGAAAGCCAGUAAAAUCAUCUACAGAAGCACAAAAAAAUCUAAGACCAAAGUGUUGGUGUAUUUUAUCAUUGGUCGUCUUUGGAUUACUGUUAAGAAUGAGUUUCAUAUGCUUAUUUUGUAUUUUGCUUGGUUUAGGAGGUAGACUUGUACAGAAAAACCAAUUGCAUGACUCUGACAUGAAUCUUUCCUAUUAACUUUUAGCUAACUAUGGCUCCAAACUCUUACCUGGUAAUAGAUGAAGUUGGUCUUGUGGGUUUGGAAGCAGCAUUGUGUUUUCCUUUUUUCUCAUUUUUUAGUUGACUUAAUUCUAGUAGAAUAUUCUGCUUUAAUAAUUAAUGCCCUGUAACCUCAUUUUACAAUUUUAAGAGACAAGUAAUUCAGUAUCAAAUUGAUUCAUCAAAAGUUAUAAAGAUUGUCAUGUUACUUUAGCAUUUUGCAUGACAUGUUGUAUAUUUUUUAUGGUUAUAUUUGCUUGUUAGUUCAAUUGUAAAAUCGUUUUCUUCCAACAACGUCAUGUGACAUGUCCAGCUUAGAGCUAACGGGAUAAUUAUGAUAACAUGGAAAGUAGGAACAGUUAUACAAUUUUGAGCAAUUUUGUACCACUGGCAGUUGAAAUUGAUUUGUCAUGAUGCUUUUGAUUUUAUGGCUAACACACAUGUCAUAGUUGUUUUAAUUGAAUAUUUCACACUUGGUUUUAAUGUGCAUAACUUUAGAGAUUUUUCUAUGGUUUUUAAUUUGAAAAUAUUGUAGCUAUUUUUUUGUUUUGGCUUGGCAUAAAAUCUUCAAUUUGGUUAUUUGUUAGUACUAUAAUAUACAACCACAAGAUGGAGGAAUAUCCCAAGAUUGACCAACUCAAGAAAGUGAAGAUGGCAAUCAAUCAGUCAUGGAAUUCAAGCAUGGUGGACGCGUGUGAUUGUAUAGGCGGGGGUUACGAAAACAGUUUUGAAAGGAAAAGUUGGAGGUUCUGGGCCUCUAUAAAUGUUACUGAGGAGAAGAUGAAUAAAAAAAUGGAGAAAAUUAAAGACAUGAUGCAUCAAAGAAUUCAAUAAAAUUUACAAGUAAAACUAGAGAAACAAAAGGGGAAUUUGUGACAAGAAAUUACGAACGUGGUUGAAAUGCUAGCUAUAUUUGUUGCUCGUUCAUUGAGAGAAGAUCGAUAGCUCUGCACCACAAACUGCUAUUCAACAAAUAUAUCAUUCUUCAUCUAUCUAUUACUAGUAACAAACAAGGUCAGUAUUUAUUUUAGAUGCUACACCAACUCUAUUCUUCCUUCUCUUCCUCUUAUAACUUUCUAUCUACUAUAAACACCCAUAUACGUACAUACUUAAUAUCUCUUUCGUAAGGAGGAUUACUGGAGAAAGCUAUAUUUGUACAGAAACACCAGAACUUUAAUCUAAGAUACAAAAAAAAAAGGGAGGGUGGGGGGAAGGAGAUUAAAAGGGGAAAAAAACACAUGAUGUAGAAAGUUAAAAUUCCCAGUACUUGUAAUAAUAACUAUGGUAAUUAUUUGACUCUACACAGCAAGUUACUAUAUUUGAUUUCUUUGCUAAAUUAAGAUAUUUUCAUUCUUACAUUUGAUUGGUCUAUUCUCAUGUACAAUUCAUGUGAAGCAAUUACUACUCAUCUAUUCCUAGAUAACUGCCAAGUUUCAAAUUUUUCCUUCUCUGUUAAUGAUUUUGAUUAGAUCAGAAGUUGAAAGAAAUUAUGUGAAAUAAAGUACUUAUUAUAAGUACCUCUAAGUACAGAUCUUUGUUUCUAAACUCGUCUGAUUCCCGUAUGUUACUGUGAUGAUUUCUGAAAUUAAUUCAAUUCAAAGAAUCUUUUGUUUCUUUUGAACGAAAAGGUAGUAAAGGAUUGGGAUAUUAGCGACUGGACAAGGUGCAACAACAACAACAACGACGACCCAGUAUAAUCCCACAAGUGGGGUCUGGGGAGGGUAAUAUGUAUGCAGACCUUACCCCUACCCCGAAGGGUAGAGAGGCUGUUUCCAGGAGACCCUCGGCUCAAAAAAAGCAACAGGAGACGAUAUAUUAGUACCAUAAAAAUGCAUAAUAAAAUAACAGCAAUAUAAGAGAUAUGAAAUACAGAAUACGAAAUACGAAAUAGAUGACUGGACAAGGUGCAAUGGGUUUAAUUACCUAGCAACCCUCUAUACUUGCAUAUACUUCUAGCAAAACCAAUUCUUCUUCUGUAAGGAGAAAAAAAGAGAGAACAUAAUUUGGUUAUGGAAAAGAUUUCUUAAACUUGACAUGGAAAAUUUGUGUAGUUAUUAAGUAUAUAUGUACCUUCUUAGUGAAAUUUGUGAAAGUUGAUGUACCCAGUACUUGAUGGCAGCCAAAUCAUUUAUAUACUUAUGCUUUUAUCACUAAUCUAUAUGAAGUAACAAAAGUUGAGUAUUGAUGAGCUGAUAAAUCAUGUAGCAUUGCCAAAAAGAUUAACAUGACUUUAAUGUUAUCCCAUACUCUUAUUUGUCAUCUUUUGUAGGUGAAGUAAAUGAUAAAGCUUCAGAAAAAAGCAGUGAAGACCUUGCUUAAGAAGAUUUCAAUUGUUGCUGAAGUUUUAGAUAUUUUAGGAAUCUUUUAUUUUCAUUCAUUUUGAAACUUAUGCUAACUCUUGAAUUCUAUUUUGCUCUAAUGGAUAUUAUCAAUUGGA
Molecule: long non-coding RNA, 2714 nt
Filed under: Nicotiana tabacum (common tobacco)
Lineage: Eukaryota; Viridiplantae; Streptophyta; Magnoliopsida; Solanales; Solanaceae
Description: long non-coding RNA (NTAB_LNC015283)
Source: RNAcentral